CCAAUUCUCUUCAUUCCAAUGCCAAAAUGGCAUUGGAAUGAAGAGAAUUGG
RNAcentral lists this microRNA precursor (51 nucleotides) under Podarcis lilfordi (Lilford's wall lizard). The record is from RNAcentral. Lineage: Eukaryota; Metazoa; Chordata; Lepidosauria; Squamata; Lacertidae.